Molecule: ribosomal RNA, 450 nt
Filed under: uncultured Mollicutes bacterium
Lineage: Bacteria; Bacillati; Mycoplasmatota; Mollicutes
Description: bacterial SSU rRNA
Rfam family: Bacterial small subunit ribosomal RNA
Source: RNAcentral
UGGCAGCAGUAGGGAAUUUUCGGCAAUGGGGGCAACCCUGACCGAGCAACGCCGCGUGAAUGACGAAGUACUUCGGUAUGUAAAGUUCUUUUAUUGGGGAAGAAUGGCUAGCGGAAAAGCUAGAUUGACGGUACCUGAUGAAUAAGCCCCGGCUAACUAUGUGCCAGCAGCCGCGGUAAUACAUAGGGGGCAAGCGUUAUCCGGAAUUAUUGGGCGUAAAGGGUGCGUAGGUGGUAAGAUAAGUCUUAGGUGUAAGUGCAGAGCUUAACUCUGUGAUGCUAAAGAAACUGUCUGACUUGAGUGUGGUAGAGGCAAGUGGAAUUCCAUGUGUAGCGGUAAAAUGCGUAAAUAUAUGGAGGAACACCAGUGGCGAAGGCGGCUUGCUGGGCCAUAACUGACACUGAGGCACGAAAGCGUGGGGAGCAAACAGGAUUAGAUACCCCGGUAGUC